Long non-coding RNA from Equus quagga, 2942 nucleotides. RefSeq lists it as uncharacterized. Lineage: Eukaryota; Metazoa; Chordata; Mammalia; Perissodactyla; Equidae. The transcript has 6 exons. The record is from RefSeq and is a predicted model, not a curated record.
GCGAGGACUGCUCCGGGUGUCCCGACUGUAGCCGCGGAGCGCGGGACUGUGCAGUGGGAACUGGUGGGGCGUUUCCGUUGUCGGCGUCUGGCUGGAGGUCAGAGUUCCAAAGGGAGAAAUGCUUCUACCUGGAGAAACAACGAUUCUAUUGAAGUGUAAGUUAAGACUGCCACCUGGUCACUUGGGCUCCUCGUGCCUCUGAAUUAACAGGCAAACAAGGGAGUUACUGUGCUGGCUGUGGUGAUUGACACUGAUGAUCCAAGGAGAAACUGGACUACUACUCUACAGUGAAGGAAGACGAAGAAGGAGAGUGAACACUUCUCUUUAAGGCCAUGCUGUGGAAGUCGCACACAUCACUUCUACUAAUAGCCCAUUGACCACAACAUGGUCAUAUGAUCUCAACUACCUGGAAGGGGUUCUUGCAAGUGUGAUCUUUAUCUGGGAAGCCAUGUGUCCAACUAAGAAUAUUAUUGCUGUGGAAGAAGAGGAGAAUAGAUUUGAGGAAAAUAACCAUAUGAGGAGCCAUUUUCAAACAGCCAAAAUUGUAUCAGGUACAGAAGGUGACAGAUAUUCUAAUGGCACAUUUUCUCUGAAUGUCCCACUGAUGAAAGCAGGAAUUCUUGCCCGGUUUAAGUUUUUACAAGCCAAACUGAUGAUGGAUUUCAGGAAUACUUCUGUCAUUUACUGGAAUUAUUCACCUGGAAUGAUGAUGCUUAGGGCCAGAGGUGGAAAAUAUUAAGGUUGAUGUCGUGUCAGAAGUGGAUCUGAAGUGCUCUCACUUUUGUGGAGCUGCAUCUCCUGGAAAUGGGUUUGGUACCAACAUGAGCCCCGUUGUGUGCUCAGCCCCUUCUAUGGACAGCCAACUCCUCCAGUCAUGGGACAUCUCUGGCUUGGACCUCCCUUGCUUUGGUUGACAUCAGUGCCUUUAUUUGGUGUAGCAGCUUUCAUCAUUAAAGAAGAGGUUUCUCUUAGGAAAGCAGGAAACUCCUUGGCUAUGGCACCCAUGUGACUUUUGCUGUAGGAGAAUAUUAUCUCAGUAGAUAUGUGAGUAUUGUGAAUUUUGGAUGGGAUUCUCUCAGUAAAAAUUUCAACUUAGACAAACUUUGCUAUGGGUUAAUCUGCACAUGAGGUAAAGGCUGUUGCUAAGGCACAUCUUGGAAGCCAAAGUUGCAAAAUUGAUGGGCAUAGAUCCAGCAUUUAAGAGCCAUUAGGGUGCUCACCACUUCAGGAAGCAUCCUGUGAUAGGAUAAGUUGGUCACAAAACUGGUUAUAUCCAUGCUGUCACCCAUCAACCUCAAGAGAACUUUCAUGUAAUGAAGUACACUGUAAAAAACAAUCACACAAGCCCCAAUACCCAGGCACAUCAUACUUAGAUAUUAGUUUGGCUCCAAGGAACCCAAAGAUUAGCUAACCCUGUUAAUGUGCAUAUAAUAAACCCUAUUGUAAUUCUAAGUUUCAUGCUUUUCUUUACCAUGGGACUUUCAUUUUCAAAAGCUUCCUGAGAAGUUUCUUCCUCAGGAACUCAGCUUGGUUUUACACUUCAGAACUAUGCUCUUUCCUGUUAUAAACUUUUGUCCCAGUGUACUGAUAAUACUAAAGACAAUUUAAAAUGAUAAUGACCAGUUUGGAGCUCAUUUGAACUUCCAAAACUUGUGUUUUUGCACACUAGAUUUGAGAACCACAAACCAGGUAACUUGAAGGCAAUUUUUAAUUUCUAAAGAAACAGGCAUGCCAUCUUCCAUCACACCUGCAUAAAAACGAUGUUUCUGGAAGCUAAAAAUAUUUAUAUGCACACACACACACAAUGCAGCAAAAUCUUACUAAGUUUGUUUCAUGUCCUGAGAGCUUGGCUUGGCAACUGUCAGGUUGGCCAGUAUAUUGCUGGACAGAAAUACAGGUCCACUUGUGACUGGGUCCUAUAAAACUAGUACUAGCAUCAGGGCAAUUACAUCUGCCAUUAGAAGGAAAUUUCCACUUAGAUAAGAUGAUCUAAGAAGAGUACUUUAAACAAAGUCUCCAAAAUUCCAAAGUAGCUUUAUUGAAAUUUUCAUUGCUAAAAGCUAAGGAAAAUUAAGAUAUAAGAGGUAUCUAAAAUAAAAGACUAUACAAAAGUCUGUUAAGGUAAUGCCUUUAUAGACACCUCAAUACCCACCUUCAAAGGAGGGCCUUAUAUGAACAGCUUCUAGAGUUAAUGAGACUCCAAGUGAUUUUUCUGGUAAACUGCUAUGUUAUUCCCUUAGUGAAGGGGAAAGUAAAAUUAAAAAUGAAUGGAGUUAUUUAAUACUGCCAGAAAUAUUUACUGUUUUCCCUGGCUGAAACUUGAUAAGAUACUUGAAAGGAUCUAGUAAUUUAUGAUCAGAAGUUUGGCCAAAUUGGAAACUGGUAUUUGUCACCUGACAGGAAAUUUUUUAUUGGCCUUCCUCCCUAAUUCAAAUAAAACUAUGUACCUAGAGGGAAAUAAGUAUAUGGAUGACACAGGAGAAAAGGUAAAUCAACCUAUGAUGCCAUUUAAGUUACAACCUAGUAUCUGAUGAAUUGAGAGCAAGUGCCCUUAUCUUACAAUAAUUUACAAAACUGGAAAUGCAACUCUAGAGGCAGUUCUGAUUCCACCUAUUCUUUUCCCAUACCAAAAACUUCCCCUAUUUAUCUCAAAAAGAUUGUAACAUCUCCAGGAACUAUUAUCUAGACUGUUACCAAUUCCUAAGACUGAAGAAAAAAAGAAAAAAGAGUCAAACAACUAAAGAAACACCUUUACCCAAAUCCAGCAUCUUGUGUGUCUUUUCCACAAAUAUUAGUUGACAAAAGCAUUAGACAUCUAAGCAGGUAACCAUAAUUUAUUUUAUCUGCCAGAAGCACAGCUAGGAUUCAACUAUUUAUUUUUUCAUGAGUAAGAUUUUCAUAUAAAGUAAUUCUAAAUAAAAUAGAAACUAACCCAAAUGAAU